RNAcentral lists this long non-coding RNA (329 nucleotides) under Hordeum vulgare. Its description in RNAcentral is "long non-coding RNA (HVUL_LNC000767)". Lineage: Eukaryota; Viridiplantae; Streptophyta; Magnoliopsida; Poales; Poaceae. The record is from RNAcentral.
UAAUCUCAUCAUAAAUCCACAAUUCAUUGGAUCUCGACAAACACACAACAAAAGAAAGUUACAUCGGAUAGAUCUCCAUGAAGAUCAUGGAGAACUUUGUAUUGAAGAUCCAAGAGAGAGAACAAGACAUCUAGCUACUAGCUAUGGACCCGAAGGUCUGUGGUGAACUACUCACGCAUCAUCGGAGAGGCAAUGGCCUUGAUGAAGAAGCCCUCCGUUGCCGAAUCCCCCCCGGCAGGGCACCAGAACGGUCCCCAUAUGGGAUCUUGCGGAGACAGAACCUUGCAGCGGCGGAAACGUAUUUUCGUGGCUCUCUCCUUUGGUUUCGG